AGCCUUGAGGUGUUAAGCAUAUUAGAUUGCAAAUCUAAAGGAGUAGAUUAGUCAUCUACCGGGGCUU
RNAcentral lists this transfer RNA (67 nucleotides) under Gerres filamentosus (whipfin silverbiddy). Its description in RNAcentral is "tRNA-Cys". It matches the Rfam family "tRNA". Rfam says of the family: Transfer RNA (tRNA) molecules are approximately 80 nucleotides in length. Their secondary structure includes four short double-helical elements and three loops (D, anti-codon, and T loops). The record is from RNAcentral. Lineage: Eukaryota; Metazoa; Chordata; Actinopteri; Gerreiformes; Gerreidae.